RNAcentral lists this long non-coding RNA (380 nucleotides) under Pogona vitticeps (central bearded dragon). RNAcentral's name for it is "lncRNA (ENSPVIG00000016045.1)". Lineage: Eukaryota; Metazoa; Chordata; Lepidosauria; Squamata; Agamidae. The record is from RNAcentral.
AAAUUCAUUAUUGCUAUUUGUUUUCCCAUUCAGAACUCAUCUUGAAAGGUAUUGACUGCUAAGGAGUGUUUGUGCUGCUCUUUUUUUCUGAACCAUAUAUAAUGGUAGUAAAUCUGGCCCUUUUUGUUCCACAGAACAAUUAGGAAUACAGAAAACCUCCUGCUGAGAGCCUAUUAUCAGAAAUUGUCUGCACCAGAUGAGAAUAAUUGUUUUGCGAUGUUCGCAAAUUGUUGCGCUUGAACGAAAAGUAACAUUCUCAUACACCAGUCCCACAAACCCAAGCAGAUGAAAGAGUCUGUUGAUUUCAAGCACCACUCCUUCUGGAAAGCAGGGGAAAUGCCAGCUAUACUGGAAGUUUCUCUGACCAUAAACUGGGCCAU